UACGUAGGGGGCAAGCGUUGUCCGGAUUUAUUGGGCGUAAAGAGCGUGUAGGCGGCCUGGAAGGUCAGCUGUGAAAACUCGAGGCUCAACCUCGAGACGUCGGUUGAAACCACCUGGCUAGAGUCCGGAAGAGGAGUGUGGAAUUCCCGGUGUAGCGGUGAAAUGCGCAGAUAUCGGGAAGAACACCCGUGGCGAAGGCGGCACUCUGGGACGGUACUGACGCUGCGACGCGAAAGCGUGGGGAGCGAACAGG
This 253-nucleotide ribosomal RNA is filed under the name uncultured bacterium. Its description in RNAcentral is "partial 16S ribosomal RNA". It matches the Rfam family "Bacterial small subunit ribosomal RNA", at positions 524 to 776 of the family's 1533-position model. The record is from RNAcentral.